AGGAUUAACGCUGGCGGCGUGCCUAACACAUGCAAGUCGAACGAGGUAGCAAUACCUAGUGGCAGACGGGUGAGUAGCGCGUGGUCAACCUACCGUUGAGUGGGGGAUAACUAGCCGAAAGGUUAGCUAAUACCGCAUACGUCUCCGAGGGGCAUCCCUUGGCGAUAAAAAGGAGCAAUCCGCUCGAUGACGGGACCGCGUCCCAUUAGCUAGUUGGUGGGGUAACGGCCUACCAAGGCAUCGAUGGGUAGCUGGUUUGAGAGAGCGACCAGCCACACUGGGACUGAGAUACGGCCCAGACUCCUACGGGAGGCAGCAGUGAGGAAUUUUCCGCAAUGGGCGAAAGCCUGACGGAGCGACGCCGCGUGUGGGAAGAAGGCCUUCGGGUCGUAAACCACUGUCGAAGGGGAAGAUAAUGACGGUACCUUUGGAGGAAGCCCCGGCUAACUACGUGCCAGUAGCCGC
This 465-nucleotide ribosomal RNA is filed under the name uncultured bacterium. RNAcentral's name for it is "SSU rRNA". It matches the Rfam family "Bacterial small subunit ribosomal RNA", at positions 26 to 518 of the family's 1533-position model. The record is from RNAcentral.